This 468-nucleotide ribosomal RNA is filed under the name uncultured bacterium. Its description in RNAcentral is "partial 16S ribosomal RNA". It matches the Rfam family "Bacterial small subunit ribosomal RNA", at positions 28 to 507 of the family's 1533-position model. The record is from RNAcentral.
GACGAACGCUGGCGGCGUGCUUAACACAUGCAAGUCGAACGGAAAGGCCCUGCUUUUGUGGGGUGCUCGAGUGGCGAACGGGGGAGUAACACGUGAGUAACCUGCCCUUGACUUUGGGAUAACUUCAGGAAACUGGGGCUAAUACCGGAUAGGAGCUCCUGCUGCAUGGUGGGGGUUGGAAAGUUUCGGCGGUUGGGGAUGGACUCGCGGCUUAUCGGCUUGUUGGUGGGGUAGUGGCUUACCAAGGCUUUGACGGGUAGCCGGCCUGCGAGGGGGACCGGCCCCACUGGGACUGAGAGAAGACACAGACCCCAAUGGGAGGCAACGGGGGGGAAGAUUGCACAGUGGGCGGAAGCCUGAUGCAACGACGCCGCGUGCGGGAAAACGGCAUUCUGGUUGUAAACCGACGUCGCCUGUGACGAAGCGUGAGUGACGGUACCGGGUAAAGAAGCCCCGGCUAACUACGUG